AGAGUUUGAUCCUGGCUCAGAACGAACGCUGGCGGCAGGCCUAACACAUGCAAGUCGAGCGCACCUUCGGGUGAGCGGCGGACGGGUGAGUAACGCGUGGGAAUAUGCCCUUUGGUACGGAAUAGUCCUGGGAAACUGGGGGUAAUACCGUAUGCGCCCUUCGGGGGAAAGAUUUAUCGCCAAAGGAUUAGCCCGCGUUGGAUUAGGUAGUUGGUGGGGUAAUGGCCUACCAAGCCGACGAUCCAUAGCUGGUUUGAGAGGAUGAUCAGCCACACUGGGACUGAGACACGGCCCAGACUCCUACGGGAGGCAGCAGUGGGGAAUCUUAGACAAUGGGGGCAACCCUGAUCUAGCCAUGCCGCGUGAGUGAAGAAGGCCUUCGGGUUGUAAAGCUCUUUCAGCUGGAGCGAAACGGUACGCUCUAACAUAGCGUGCUAAUGACGGUACCAGCAGAAGAAGCACCGGCUAACUACGUGCCAGCAGCCGCGGUAAUACGUAGGGUGCGAGCGUUAAUCGGAAUUACUGGGCGUAAAGCGUGCGCAGGCGGAUU
RNAcentral lists this ribosomal RNA (550 nucleotides) under uncultured bacterium. RNAcentral's name for it is "bacterial SSU rRNA". It matches the Rfam family "Bacterial small subunit ribosomal RNA", at positions 8 to 581 of the family's 1533-position model. The record is from RNAcentral.